Lucilia cuprina (Australian sheep blowfly) is the source of this 797-nucleotide long non-coding RNA. RefSeq lists it as uncharacterized. The record is from RefSeq and is a predicted model, not a curated record. NCBI's taxonomy places the organism in Eukaryota, Metazoa, Arthropoda, Insecta, Diptera, Calliphoridae. The transcript is spliced from 3 exons.
AGAAGAGCAUGUACCAAAUUUCGUACUAAAUCGACAAAUUUACAAGCUAAAUCGGCUAAUAUACUCUGAAUCAAUUGCUAUAAUAUAAGGUGGAUGUCAAGUCAAAUAUCGUCACAAACGCCGAUAUAUCAGAUUCAACAUACCAAUAAAUUCAUACAUAAUUGUUUGCAAUGUUCGCGUACGAUGACUCGUGUAUGAUCCAGUCCUAAAAAUAGUAUGUGCAACAUUAAAGGCAAAUGUAAAGUCCAGUCAAUUCCUGGAAUUCCAUCCACAACAAUGUCAGUGAGUAACAUGACGGCCACAUUGCAACUAAUUAAAUAAAACAAAAAGUAAACAUACAAAUUAAAAAUGCCAGAACAUUCCAGCAAAGGUAUAUUGUUAAACUUAAUAUAAAUAGUUAGAAAAGCAAAUUUCAUAAUAGAUAUGAAUAUGCAUUUAACAUUUAUUAAAAUACAUACCGAUGAAAACCACUUAUUGGCAAACUAACGUCUGGCAAGAAUUCUGUUAGUGGAGCAAAAUAACCACCGUAUUCAGGCAUUGGCAAUGGAUGUGGCGCAGUAGAUGCAGAGACUGUUUGGGCAGCAUCUGAUGAACGUAGUUCGACAUUUUCCUCUUGACGCAACUAAAAGAAAGUAUAAGAAAAUUAUUAAUUAAAUAUCUUCAGUUUAAGUAUCAUUUACCUCUGGAUCAUUGAUUAAAAUAUCUUCUGGCCUUGGCAAUAUUGAUGGUCCUGAUGCUGCACGUAUUUUAUCAGCACCACGAGGUGGCCGAUUGUUUGUUGCUUGUGUAAAUGCUCU